This 589-nucleotide ribosomal RNA is filed under the name Bacillus thuringiensis. RNAcentral's name for it is "bacterial SSU rRNA". It matches the Rfam family "Bacterial small subunit ribosomal RNA", at positions 173 to 747 of the family's 1533-position model. Lineage: Bacteria; Bacillati; Bacillota; Bacilli; Caryophanales; Bacillaceae. The record is from RNAcentral.
CAUUUUGAACCGCAUGGUUCGAAAUUGAAAGGCGGCUUCCGCUGUCACUUAUGGAUGGACCCGCGUCUCAUUAUCUAGUUGGUGAGGUAACGGCUCACCGAGGCAACGAUGCGUAGCCGACCUGAGAGGGUGAUCGGCCACACUGGGACUGACACACUGCCCAGACUCCUACGGGAGGCAGCACUAGGGAAUCUUCCCCUAUGGACGAAAGUCUGACGGAGCAACGCCGCGUGAGUGAUGAAGGCUUUCGGGUCGUAAAACUCUGUUGUUAGGGAAGAACAAGUGCUAGUUGAAUAAGCUGGCACCUUGACGGUACCUAACCUCAAAAGCCUCUGCUAACUACUUGCCAGCAGCCGCGGUAAUACGUAGGUGGCAAGCGUUAUCCGGAAUUAUUGGGCGUUGAGCGCGCGCACGUGGUUUCUUAUGUCUGAUGUGAAAGCCCACGGCUCCACCGUGGAGGGUGAUUGGAAACUGGGAGACUUGAGUGCAGGAGGAGGAAAGUGGAAUUACAUGUGUAUCGGUGAAAUGCGUAGAGAUAUGGAGGAACACCAGUGGGCGAAUGGCGACUUUCUGGUCUGUAACUGACACU